UACGGAGGGUGCAAGCGUUAUCCGGAUUUACUGGGUUUAAAGGGUGUGUAGGCGGACUUUUAAGUCCGUGGUGAAAUCUCCGGGCUCAACCCGGAAACUGCCAUGGAUACUAUUGGUCUUGAAUGUUGUUGAGGUGGGCGGAACGGGUCAUGUAGCGGUGAAAUGCAUAGAGAUGACCCGGAACACCGAUUGCGAAGGCAGCCCACUAAGCAACCAUUGACGCUGAGGCACGAAAGCGUGGGGAUCAAACAGG
This 253-nucleotide ribosomal RNA is filed under the name uncultured bacterium. RNAcentral describes it as "partial 16S ribosomal RNA". It matches the Rfam family "Bacterial small subunit ribosomal RNA", at positions 524 to 776 of the family's 1533-position model. The record is from RNAcentral.